GAUUGGCCAAAAAGUUCGUUUGGGUUUUUCUGGAACAUCUUAUGGAAAAACCUGAACGAACUUUUUGGCCCAC
Bos indicus x Bos taurus (hybrid cattle) is the source of this 73-nucleotide microRNA precursor. The record is from Ensembl. Lineage: Eukaryota; Metazoa; Chordata; Mammalia; Artiodactyla; Bovidae.